AGAAGCAGCCAUACAUUCAAAGAGUGCGUAAUAGCUCACUAGUCGAGAGGUCCUGCGCCGAAAAUGUCCGGGGCUAAAACACAACACCGAAGCUUAGGAAUUCUUUUGAAUUGGUAGAGGAGCAUUGAAGACGGAACGAAGCCAUACCGGAAGGAAUGGUGGACUGUCUUGAAGAGAGAAUGCCGGAAUGAGUAGCGAGAUUGAAGUGAGAAUCUUCAAGGCCGAAUAUCUAAGGUUUCCAGGGUAAAGCUGAUCUGCCCUGGGUAAGUCGGGGCCUAAGGCAAGGUCGAAAGACGUAGUCGAUGGAUAACAGGUUGAAAUUCCUGUACUGCAUCAAAUCAGAAAUGUGGGGACACAUGAGGGAAGCAUGAGCCGGAAAAGGAAAGUCCGGUACAAGCGCAGCAGAGGACAGAUAGGAAAAACCGUCUGUCAACUCGAGGGCGUGAUGUGGAGCGAACCAAAGUAGCGAAGCAUGUGGAGCUUGUGUCGAGAAAAGCCGCUAUAGUGUUUGAUGUACCCGUACCGUAAACCGACACAGGUGGAUGAGGAGAGAAUCCUAAGGCCGGCGGAAGAAGCAUUGUUAAGGAACUCGGCAAAAUGACCCCGUAACUUCGGGAGAAGGGGUGCCUGCGAGAGCAGGCCGCAGAGAAUAGGCUCAAGCAACUGUUUAGCAAAAACACAGGUCUAUGCGAAACCGAAAGGUGAGGUAUAUGGGCUGACGCCUGCCCGGUGCUGGAAGGUUAAGAGGAGAGGUUAGCGCAAGCGAAGCUUUGAAUUUAAGCCCCAGUAAACGGCGGCCGUAACUAUAACGGUCCUAAGGUAGCGAAAUUCCUUGUCGGGUAAGUUCCGACCCGCACGAAAGGCGUAAUGAUUUGAGCACUGUCUCGACAAUGCAUCCGGUGAAAUUGAAGUACCAGUGAAGAUGCUGGUUACCCGCGCCAGGACGGAAAGACCCCAUGGAGCUUUACUCCAGUUUGAUACUGGGAUUCGGUACUGCAUGUACAGGAUAGGUGGGAGACGAAGAAGGAUGGACGCCAGUCUGUCCGGAGUCGCUGUUGGGAUACCACCCCUGUAGUACUGGGUUUCUAACCAGUUGCCAUGAACUGGCAAUGGGACAAUGUCAGGCGGGGAGUUUGACUGGGGCGGUCGCCUCCGAAAGGGUAUCGGAGGCGCUCAAAGGUUCCCUCAGAAUGGUUGGAAACCAUUCGAAGAGUGCAAAGGCAGAAGGGAGCUUGACUGCGACACCGACGGGUGGAGCAGGUACGAAAGUAGGACUUAGUGAUCCGGUGGUAUAAAGUGGGAUUGCCAUCGCUCAACGGAUAAAAGCUACCCUGGGGAUAACAGGCUUAUCACUCCCAAGAGUUCACAUCGACGGAGUGGUUUGGCACCUCGAUGUCGGCUCAUCGCAUCCUGGGGCUGUAGCAGGUCCCAAGGGUUGGGCUGUUCGCCCAUUAAAGCGGUACGCGAGCUGGGUUCAGAACGUCGUGAGACAGUUCGGUCCCUAU
Molecule: ribosomal RNA, 1505 nt
Filed under: human gut metagenome
Description: bacterial LSU rRNA
Rfam family: Bacterial large subunit ribosomal RNA
Source: RNAcentral